Molecule: long non-coding RNA, 349 nt
Organism: Leptinotarsa decemlineata (Colorado potato beetle)
Lineage: Eukaryota; Metazoa; Arthropoda; Insecta; Coleoptera; Chrysomelidae
Gene: mmm
Source: RefSeq, a predicted model, not a curated record
CGAUACGAAGUUUUCGAAAAUAUCUUCAGAUGAAGAAGUCCAAGAAUAUAUGUCCUUCAUGGACGUGAACCUGUGCAAAGGUAAAAUGAUUGCUGAUGCAGUAUGGCACCCAAUGUGGACAGGAAUCAUCGCAAUAGCCUACGCCAAUGCUGCUCCAAAUGUUUAUCAAUCUGGACCAAAAAUGGAGGAUAAUGUUCUGAAAGCAGUUCAUGGACUGAACUCGGUUCUUAUCUGGAGCUGUUUGGAUGGACUGCGGCCUAAAUUGAUUCUAGAAACUCCAAGAGAGGUUCACAAACUAUCUUUUUGUAAAUUUGACGAAAAUAUCCUCAUUGGCGGUUGCAGUAAUGGA